RNAcentral lists this ribosomal RNA (700 nucleotides) under Basidiomycota sp. 3262. RNAcentral describes it as "eukaryotic LSU rRNA". The stretch from base 259 to 412 matches the Rfam family "5.8S ribosomal RNA". The record is from RNAcentral. Lineage: Eukaryota; Fungi; Basidiomycota.
GGAAGUAAAAGUCGUAACAAGGUUUCCGUAGGUGAACCUGCGGAAGGAUCAUUAAAGAAAAACGUCCCGGACGGCGCCGCAAGGCGAAGAACGGACUUUCUCUUCCAACCCACCCCAUUGUGAACCCACCGCGCGAAAGUCAGUAAGGGGUAUACCCUCCGGGAAGCCUCUGAAAAGCUUUGCGAAAACCCACAUACCUACAUACCCGUAUGCAAGUCUCAGAAUGUACAUCUUGCGCUUCGUCGCAAAUAAAAACACAACUUUCAGCAACGGAUCUCUUGGCUCUCGCAUCGAUGAAGAACGCAGCGAAAUGCGAUAAGUAAUGUGAAUUGCAGAAUCCAGUGAAUCAUCGAAUCUUUGAACGCACCUUGCACCCCUUGGCAUUCCGAGGGGUACGCCUGUUUGAGUGUCGUGAAUUCCUCCACUCGACCGCUUCGUUGCGUGUCGGGCUGGGACGUUGGGGGUGUCUUGCGGGUCCCUUUCGUGGUCCGCUCCCCUUGAAUGCAUUAGUGAGGUUCGGCGCUCGGCCUCGACGUGAUAAGUCUAUCUACGUCGCGUCCGGCGCUUUGUUUGUCCUGGUCAGUCCAGGGAAAAACGGGACUUUGCUUCCAACCGUCUUCGGACAAAUCGUGCGCCUUUGUGCGUGCACCUUCGAACUCGACCUCAGAUCAGGUGGGACUACCCGCUGAACUUAAGCAUA